RNAcentral lists this ribosomal RNA (341 nucleotides) under uncultured bacterium. RNAcentral describes it as "bacterial SSU rRNA". It matches the Rfam family "Bacterial small subunit ribosomal RNA", at positions 29 to 334 of the family's 1533-position model. The record is from RNAcentral.
UAUAAACGCUGGCGGCGCACAUAAGACAUGCAAGUCGAACGGAAGUCGUUAUAAAACAGAGAGAAGAUUUAUCGGAUUGAAGUUUUGUAACAAUGGCUUUAGUGGCGGACUGGUGAGUAACACGUAAGCAAUCUACCUAUUAGAGGGGAAUAACAAUGAGAAAUCAUUGCUAAUACCGCAUAAGCUUGUAGUAUCGCAUGAUACAGCAAGAAAGGAGCAAUCCGCUAAUAGAUGAGCUUGCGGCUGAUUAGCUAGUUGGUGAGGUAAUGGCUUACCAAGGCAACGAUCAGUAGCCGGGCUGAGAGGCUCUGCGGCCACAUUGGGACUGAGAUACGGCCCAG